GGGGGAGGGACUUUGGGAGAACGAGGCAAAUUGACGAGCGAAGCAGACGAGCAGAGCUCAAAUGAAUGAGGAAAACGUCUGUCCUGGAGUUUUUUAUCGUCACACAACGAUAAAUACGGAGUUUAUCUACAGUGUGUGGACCUUAAAACAUCCCGAAGGGACACGACGUGCGUGCUCCUUGGACCUUUUUUCGUUCUUUGGAUAAAUUGCUUGAGGACCACCGAGGGGAAAAACGGGCGUCGACGGCGUGUCGGGCUGCAUGCGUCUUCCCAGCGUUCUCAACGGUCAUCAACCAUCUUGCCACCAACCAGAGCCCAUCUCUCAUCUCUUUUCCUUCUUCUUUCUAACUUCCAUCUAUCUCUCUCUCAAGAACAUCUGACUGAUGAUCAACUGGUGGGAAUUUAAGUCUUGUUUGGACAACUUUUUUGUUUGGGAAGAAAGAAGAUCAGCUUCAAGGUGAAGUACACCGACGACCCUCAAUAAAAGAAAUGAACACAUCUGAAAGUUGUGUUGCCAGAAAGCUAAAGGAGUCUCUUAGCUACAGGGAGUGCUUAGCUUCGAUUAGUCAGUGGAGCUGCUGAAGGUCACCACCGUGGAGCAAAGCAGCCAGCAGUAGGCCUUCAUAAAACCAUGCGGCGUAUCAUUAUUUUCAAAGUGUUUCAUUAUGGAUGGUUAACCUUGGCUAACUUUGACCUAACACUGUAAUCAGCUGCCAGUAAUGCCUUCCAAACAGCGCAAUCACACCGCCAUGCUCUUUGUUUAUCAGUCAGGAAAAUACAUCAAAUGUACAAUUUUACUUCCUGCACAGGUAUUAGAAAAGUCAAUUCAAAUAGUCUGGGGAAAAAAAAAAAAAGACGUGUCAUUAGGGGCA
Long non-coding RNA from Corythoichthys intestinalis (scribbled pipefish), 871 nucleotides. RefSeq lists it as uncharacterized. Lineage: Eukaryota; Metazoa; Chordata; Actinopteri; Syngnathiformes; Syngnathidae. The record is from RefSeq and is a predicted model, not a curated record. The transcript is spliced from 3 exons.